GACUCUGAGCAGUGGAUCACUCAGCUCGUGUGUCAAUGAAGAAUGCAGUUAGCUGUGAGAAAUAAUGUGAAUUGCAGGACACAUUGAUCAUUGACACUUUGAAUGCACUUUGCAACCCUGGGUUACUCCCGAGGCUAAACCUGCCUGAGGGUCG
This is a ribosomal RNA of Protopterus annectens (West African lungfish), 154 nucleotides long. RefSeq annotates it as 5.8S ribosomal RNA. The transcript has a single exon. The record is from RefSeq and is a predicted model, not a curated record. Lineage: Eukaryota; Metazoa; Chordata; Ceratodontiformes; Protopteridae.